CCUACGAGUGGCAGCAGUGAGGAAUAUUGGUCAAUGGACGCAAGCCUGAACCAGCCAUGCCGCGUGCAGGAAGAAGGUCCUAUGAGUUGUAAACUGCUUUUGUACGAGGGUAAAUCCCGAUACGUGUACCGGGUUGAAUGUACCGUACGAAAAAGCAUCGGCUAACUCCGUGCCAGCAGCCGCGGUAAUACGGAGGAUGCGAGCGUUAUCCGGAUUUAUUGGGGUUAAAGGGUGCGCAGGCGGAAUGUUAAGUCAGCGGGAAAAUUCCGGGGCUAAACCCCGUCGUGCCGUUGAAACUGGCGUGCUUGAGUGGGCGAGAGGUAAGCGGAAUGCGAGGUGUAGCGGUGAAAUGCAUAGAUAUCACGCAGAACACCGAUUGCGAAGGCAGCAUACCGGCGCUCAACUGACGCUGAGGCACGAAAGCGUGGGUAUCGAACAGGAUUAGAUACCCUAGUAGUC
This 459-nucleotide ribosomal RNA is filed under the name uncultured bacterium. RNAcentral describes it as "partial 16S ribosomal RNA". It matches the Rfam family "Bacterial small subunit ribosomal RNA", at positions 338 to 795 of the family's 1533-position model. The record is from RNAcentral.